CAAUAGCGUAUAUUAAAGUUGUUGCAGUUAAAAAGCUCGUAGUUGGAUUUCUGAUCGAGACAUCAGGUCGGGUCCGAGAGGAUCAUGUACUUUGAUUUUGUUUUGAUCAUCCUUGGGGAGAGCAUUUCUGGCAUUCAGUUGUCGGGAUUGGGAUCCUCAUCGUUUACUGUGAAAAAAUUAGAGUGUUCAAAGCAGGCCUCGGCCUCUGAAUACAUUAGCAUGGAAUAAUAAGAUAGGACUUUGGUGGUCUAUUUUGUUGGUUUGCACGCCAAAGUAAUGAUUAAUAGGGAUAGUUGGGGGUGUUCGUAUUCAAUUGUCAGAGGUGAAAUUCUUGGAUUUAUGGAAGACGAACUACUGCGAAAGCAUUUACCAAGGAUGUUUUCAUUAA
This 388-nucleotide ribosomal RNA is filed under the name uncultured eukaryote. RNAcentral describes it as "partial 18S ribosomal RNA". It matches the Rfam family "Eukaryotic small subunit ribosomal RNA", at positions 592 to 976 of the family's 1831-position model. The record is from RNAcentral.